RNAcentral lists this ribosomal RNA (253 nucleotides) under uncultured bacterium. RNAcentral's name for it is "partial 16S ribosomal RNA". It matches the Rfam family "Bacterial small subunit ribosomal RNA", at positions 524 to 776 of the family's 1533-position model. The record is from RNAcentral.
UACAGAGGGGGCGAGCGUUGUUCGGAAUUACUGGGCGUAAAGGGCGCGUAGGCGGCCCGCUAAGUCGAACGUGAAAUCCCCAGGCUCAACCUGGGAACUGCGUCCGAUACUGGCAGGCUUGAAUCCGGGAGAGGGAUGUGGAAUUCCAGGUGUAGCGGUGAAAUGCGCAGAUAUCAGGAGGAACACCUAUGGCGAAGGCAGCUCGCUGGGACGGUACUGACGCUGAGGCGCGAAAGCGUGGGGAGCGAACAGG